Molecule: long non-coding RNA, 976 nt
Organism: Urocitellus parryii (Arctic ground squirrel)
Lineage: Eukaryota; Metazoa; Chordata; Mammalia; Rodentia; Sciuridae
Source: RefSeq, a predicted model, not a curated record
UUCUCAAAAACAUCAUUUCAAAGGAUGUUAUGGCUUUUUCCUUCUGAAACUCAGGUUGAAAUUUGAUUGCCCUUGUAAGGGUUUUGGAAGGUGGGGCUCUUAAGAGGUGAUUAGAGGAAUUAAGGCCUUUCUCAAAGGAUUAGUUACCCCAAUAGUGGGUUGUUGUAAAGUGAGACUGACCCUUGUGUUUUGCUUCUUUUGCAUGUGCCCAGUACCCCUUUCAAUUUCAGGUAUGUUAUGAAGCACCCCAAGGACUUUACCAGAAGUGGCUACUCAAUCUUGAAUUCCCCUGCCUCCAGAACUUGAUUAGUUUUCCUGGGAAGCAAGCAUUGCUUUGUGGUGUUUCCCUCAAUCCCACCCUACACAUAAAAGCAACUGAUGCAGAAGAAUUUCUCCUCUUUUGACCUUGGCAGUCCUCACCAUUCAUGGGCUUUCUCAGAUGGCUUCUUCAUCAAAGGAUAGGAGACCAGGUCAUGAAUCACGCAUGUUGCUGCUCUUUCCCGUGAUGCGGAGAUCCUAGUGGACUUGGAAACAACUGGGUCUUAUCUUAACGACUGCUCCCUGGGAGGCUCCUCUGGGACAUGCAGUUUUUCUCCUGUGGCUUGUUGUUUGGGAUCAGGAAUUCAAGAAGAGCUAGCUGGGCAGUUCAUCUCUAAUCUGUGGGCUAGCAGAUAGGGCUUGAUCAUGCGUGUCCACCACGAUUUCUUCACUCUCAAGUCUGUCACCUUGGUUUCCUUCUCUCUCCACAGAGUGUCUCAGUCUUCAGGGCCUCUCCAUGUGAUGAGGGCUUCUCACAGCAUGGUGACCUUAGAGAAGUUGGAUUCCUUAAAUGGAGGCUUCGGGCUCUAGAAGCAAGUGUUCCAAGAGCCAGCGCUUUUAAAUGAAAAGUUCUUCCACUUUGUUUUGUUGUCAUUUCUCAGACUCUCAAUUUUGGAAAUACAGGAACUAGUUUUAAAAGCCCAUUUUGUAGAAUUUU